RNAcentral lists this ribosomal RNA (274 nucleotides) under uncultured bacterium. RNAcentral describes it as "partial 16S ribosomal RNA". It matches the Rfam family "Bacterial small subunit ribosomal RNA", at positions 523 to 796 of the family's 1533-position model. The record is from RNAcentral.
AUACGGAGGGUGCAAGCGUUAUUCGGAAUCACUGGGCGUAAAGGACGCGUAGGCGGGUUGGCAAGUCAGAUGUGAAAUCCUACAGCUUAACUGUAGAACUGCAUUUGAAACUGCUAACCUAGAGUAUGGGAGGGGGAGAUGGAAUUAGUGGUGUAGGGGUAAAAUCCGUAGAUAUCACUAGGAAUACCGAAAGCGAAGGCGAUCUCCUGGAACAUAACUGACGCUAAGGCGUGAAAGCGUGGGGAGCAAACAGGAUUAGAAACCCUAGUAGUCU